This is a long non-coding RNA of Eucalyptus grandis, 134 nucleotides long. RefSeq lists it as uncharacterized. NCBI's taxonomy places the organism in Eukaryota, Viridiplantae, Streptophyta, Magnoliopsida, Myrtales, Myrtaceae. The transcript has 3 exons. The record is from RefSeq and is a predicted model, not a curated record.
GUUCUGGCUUUUGCACAUGAGAAGAUGGAGGACUGGACAGCUUCUCAUGUUACCAUUGCGAUUACUAUGAAUUCAAGUUACAGUUUACCUCAGAAUGUUGCUUUGAUCACUCUGCAGGAGUUGGAUGAUGGAAG